GGGUAGGUGGCCGAGUGGCUAAAGGCGACAGACUGUAAAUCUGUUCUCGCGAGAGUACGGUGGUUCGAAUCCACCCCUGCCCACCA
Molecule: transfer RNA, 86 nt
Filed under: Bacteroides sp.
Lineage: Bacteria; Pseudomonadati; Bacteroidota; Bacteroidia; Bacteroidales; Bacteroidaceae
Also listed under: 3 other names
Description: tRNA-Tyr
Rfam family: tRNA
About the family: Transfer RNA (tRNA) molecules are approximately 80 nucleotides in length.
Source: RNAcentral